UGGAGCAGAAGCGCAACUGACGGUACUCAAUCUUCGGGUUGAGCGCUGAGGAAACUCCCAACUACUGCCAGUAACAGUCCUACGAAAGGAAGGAGGCGAGAGCCUCGCUCUGGGAACAGAAACGGCACCACCACUCGGAAUAUGACGAUGAUGCAGACUUGAAUCUGCUGAGGAUUCGAUUGGAGCGGUUGAAACGGCCUAUCACUGUGUAGCAAUCUCAAGAAUACAUCGUCGAGGUGCUGGCCUGAGGUGUAGGGUAGAGAGCUUAGUUAGAUGUUGCAAAGCUCUUUUCGGGCAACUGAAUCGAGCAGAACAAAAUUGGGGCUACUCUCUGGACCA
RNAcentral lists this RNase P RNA (339 nucleotides) under Candidatus Thorarchaeota archaeon. RNAcentral's name for it is "RNase P RNA component". It matches the Rfam family "Archaeal RNase P". From Rfam's summary of the family: Ribonuclease P (RNase P) is a ubiquitous endoribonuclease, found in archaea, bacteria and eukarya as well as chloroplasts and mitochondria. Lineage: Archaea; Promethearchaeati; Candidatus Thorarchaeota. The record is from RNAcentral.